UGCGCGACGUGUUCUAUGAUGGUAAUCCCAAAUAUGAACAAUGCACGGUUGUGUUGCGUGUAGCUUCCACUUUCAUAAGUGGUUGGGGUCAGGUUUGACCUGUUGACCCCUCGGGUCUUCCCUCCAGGUUUGGAUCCUUUGAGAUUUUUAAGUCUGCAGAUGAGCACACAGGGCGUGCAGGCCCCAGCGUGGGGAGGAACGACAUUCGAGUGCAGCUGCUCGACUAUGUCAUCAGCUCCUUUUACCCCGAGAUCCAGGCUGCUCAUGCCAGCAACAACGUGCAGAGGAACGCCGCCUUCUUCCGGGAGGUGACGCGGCGCACGGCGCGGAUGGUGGCCGAGUGGCAGUGUGUGGGCUUCUGCCACGGCGUGCUCAACACCGACAACAUGAGCAUCCUGGGUCUCACCAUCGACUACGGGCCCUUUGGCUUCCUGGACAGGUAUGACCCCGACCACGUGUGCAAUGCCUCUGACAACACCGGCCGCUAUGCAUACAGCAAGCAGCCCGAGGUGUGCAGGUGGAACCUGCGGAAGCUGGCUGAGGCCCUGCAGCCAGAGCUGCCGCUGGAGCUGGGUGAGGCCAUCCUGGCCGAUGAGUUUGACGCCGAGUUCCAAAGGCACUACCUGCAGAAGAUGCGCAGGAAGCUGGGCCUCGUGCAGGUGGAGCUGGAGGAAGACGGGGUGCUGGUGUCCAAGCUCCUGGAGACCAUGCACCUGACUGGUGCCGACUUCACAAACACCUUCUACUUGCUGAGCUCCUUCCCAGUGGAGCCAGAGUCGCCAGGCCUGGCGGAAUUCCUGGCCAGGCUGAUGGAGCAGUGUGCCUCCCUGGAGGAGCUGAGGCUGGCCUUCCGGCCCCAGAUGGAUCCCCGGCAGCUAUCCAUGAUGCUGAUGCUGGCGCAGUCAAACCCGCAGCUGUUCGCGCUUAUGGGCACCCGGGCGGGCAUCGCCAGGGAGCUGGAGCGUGUGGAGCAGCAGUCUCGGCUGGAGCAGCUGAGUGCAGCAGACCUGCAGAGCAGGAACCAGGGCCACUGGGCUGACUGGCUACAGGCAUACAGAGCCCGGCUGGACAAGGACCUGGAAGGCGCCAGGGAUGCUGCCGCCUGGCAGGCUGAGCGUGUGCGCGUGAUGCACGCCAACAACCCCAAGUACGUGCUGAGGAACUACAUUGCGCAGAACGCCAUCGAGGCUGCCGAGCGCGGGGACUUCUCAGAGGCAAGCACACGCCUGUCCCUGUGAUCCCUGGGAGGGGAUCGGCCCCAGACCCCUCUGACCCUCCUGAUCCUCCAGGUGCGGCGGGUGCUGAAGCUACUGGAGACCCCUUACCACUGCGAGGCGGGGGCCGCCACAGACGCCGAGGCCACGGAGGCCGACGGAGCAGACGGCAGGCAGCGCUCCUACAGCAGUAAGCCCCCGCUCUGGGCAGCAGAACUGUGCGUGACAUGAUCUUCAUAACGGCCUCGGCGCGCUCCACACCCCUGGAGUCUCCCGAGGCCCCCAUGUGCUGCUGAGUGGCCGAGACGGUGCCGGGCUGCCCUCUACACUGGGGGAUUCUGCCCACGCGCACCUGUCUUUCCGUGAUGGCAGAGACAUCCAGUCAGGACCUGACCCGUCUCUGUCUGAGGCCGGCUCAGCAGUGCAGCCUGGUCCCUGGGGGCUGGACCCAGGCUCCUAAAUAAACCAGCAACUCCCUCAG
Molecule: small RNA, 1695 nt
Filed under: Pongo abelii (Sumatran orangutan)
Lineage: Eukaryota; Metazoa; Chordata; Mammalia; Primates; Hominidae
Description: processed transcript
Source: RNAcentral